UGGGUAAUCUUCAGGUUUAUUGCAGCAACUUGGGAGAAGUCACAUGAAAAAAUGUAUGACACAUAACUAGAUUUGUAUUUUUCUGAACAUCUGUAGUAGGUAGCAAGCAACUAACUUUACCUUUUUGCAUCACUGUUGGAAUAUUAAUUGCUAUAUUUCCUUAAGAGUCAACAUGACUAACUGCUUGAUGCCAAAGUUAGUUGGAAGUCUGAACUCAAACACAGUUGCGGGUGCCUUACAGCUGCAGGCGAUUUCUUCAGAAAAUUGGAAAGCUGCUGGAGUAAUCUAGUGUUUAUCUCACUUGAUUCAUUUCGUGCCAGCGAGUGAAAGGCGUAGCGAAUUCAAGUUGAGCUGUUGCGUGCCGUCUUCAAGCAAUCAAUCCAGCCGUUCCGUUCAGUCAUUUGAACAGGAAUCUUAUGGCUGUCACUAGGUGGCUAAAAUGAUGUUCACCACCAGGUGGCGCCUGUGUCUUGAAGAAGAAAAUUUGACCAUUUUGUUUCAAGACGCAGCCGAUUUGUUACUGGUCGUGACGUUUCUCAAGAUGAAAAUGUGAUUUAGCAUGUAAAAACCACUUUGCCAAACUGAAACUCUGACUUGAAAGUAUAUUUUGCCGAAAUGUCGUGCCUCGUGUCGGUCUCGUGUGUCUUGCUGUCUGUUCCAAGGCGUACGUCUCAUCUCAUGCUACAGCAAAAGUAUAAUAAUCACACUUGUUUUACAUUGUGGUUAACGUGUCGCAGCCAGAUGGUGAAAGGUGUGAUGAAAACUGAUCCCCUGUUGUAUGCAGCAUGUGGUGCCAGUGUUAUCCUGCGGUAGCUGUACUUGUGUGUCUUGCCACCUGUUCCCAGGUGUACGUCUCAUCCCAUGCUUCAGCAAAAGUAUAAUUAUUUUAU
Molecule: long non-coding RNA, 890 nt
Filed under: Daphnia pulex (common water flea)
Lineage: Eukaryota; Metazoa; Arthropoda; Branchiopoda; Diplostraca; Daphniidae
Description: uncharacterized LOC124208592, transcript variant X2
Source: RNAcentral